This 492-nucleotide ribosomal RNA is filed under the name uncultured bacterium. RNAcentral's name for it is "partial 16S ribosomal RNA". It matches the Rfam family "Bacterial small subunit ribosomal RNA", at positions 29 to 507 of the family's 1533-position model. The record is from RNAcentral.
AGUGAACGCUGGCGGUAGGCCUAACACAUGCAAGUCGAACGGCAGCACAGUAAGAUCUUGCUCUUACGGGUGGCGAGUGGCGGACGGUUGAUGAAUACAUCGGAAUCUACUUUUUCGUGGGGGAUAACGUAGGGAAACUUACGCUAAUACCGCAUACGACCUACGGGUGAAAGCAUGGGAUCUUCGGACCUUUCGCGUUUGUAUGAGCCGAUGUCGGAUUAGCUAGUUGGCGGGGUAAAGGCCCACCAAGGCGACGAUCCGUAGCUGGUCUGAGAGGAUGAUCAGACACACUGGAACUGAGACACGGUCCAGACGACUACGGGAGGCAGCAGUGGGGAAUAUUGGACAAUGGGCGAAAGCAUGAUCCAGCAAUACCGCGUGGGUGAAGAAGGCCUUCGGGUUGUAAAGCCCUUUUGUUGGGAAAGAAAAGCAGCAGGUUAAUACCCCGCUGUUCUGACGGUACCCAAAGAAUAAGCACCGGCUAACUUCGUG